Molecule: ribosomal RNA, 497 nt
Filed under: uncultured bacterium
Lineage: Bacteria
Description: partial 16S ribosomal RNA
Rfam family: Bacterial small subunit ribosomal RNA
Source: RNAcentral
GAUGAACGCUGGCGGCGUGCCUAAUACAUGCAAGUCGAGCGAACGGACGAUAAGCUUGCUUCUCUGAUGUUAGCGGCGGACGGUUGAGUAACACGUGGAUAACCUACCUAUAAGACUGGGAUAACUUCGGGAAACCGGAGCUAAUACCGGCUAAUAUUUUGUACCGCAUUGUUCAAAAGUGAAAGACGGUCUUGCUGUCACUUAUAGAUGGAUCCGCGCUGCAUUAGCUAGUUGGUAAGGUAACGGCUUACAAAGGCAACGAUGCAUAGCCGACCUGAGAGGGGGAUCGCCCACACGGGAACUGGGCAACGGUCCAGACUCCUACGGGAGGAAGCAGAAGGGAAUCUUGCGCAAUGGGCGAAAGCCUGACGGAGCAACGCCGCGUGAGUGAUGAGGGUCUUCGGAUCGUAAAACUCUGUUAUUAGGGAAAAACAUAUGUGUAAGUAACUGUGCACAUCUUGACGGUACCUAAUCAGAAAGCCACGGCUAACUACGUG